CCUACGGGAGGCAGCAGUAGGGAAUUUUCGUCAAUGGGCGCAAGCCUGAACGAGCGAUGCUGCGUGAGUGAAGAAGGCCUUCGGGUCGUAAAGCUCUGUUGCGGGGGAAAAAAGGCAGCAUCAGGAAAUGGGUGCUGACUGAUGGUGCCCCGCCAGAAAGUCACGGCUAACUACGUGCCAGCAGCCGCGGUAAUACGUAGGUGGCGAGCGUUAUCCGGAAGGAUUGGGCGUAAAGGGUGCGCAGGCGUUCCUGCAAGUCUGGAGUGAAACGCAUGAGCUCAACUCAUGAAUGGCUUUGGAAACUGGAGGACUGGAGAGCAGGAGAGGGAGGUGGAACUCCAUGUGUAGCGGUAAAAUGCGUAGAUAUAUGGAAGAACACCAGUGGCGAAGGCGGCCGCCUGGCCUGUUGCUGACGCUGAGGCACGAAAGCGUGGGGAGCAAAUAGGAUUAGAUACCCUAGUAGUC
RNAcentral lists this ribosomal RNA (465 nucleotides) under uncultured bacterium. RNAcentral describes it as "partial 16S ribosomal RNA". It matches the Rfam family "Bacterial small subunit ribosomal RNA", at positions 338 to 795 of the family's 1533-position model. The record is from RNAcentral.